This 219-nucleotide ribosomal RNA is filed under the name uncultured bacterium. RNAcentral describes it as "partial 16S ribosomal RNA". It matches the Rfam family "Bacterial small subunit ribosomal RNA", at positions 125 to 334 of the family's 1533-position model. The record is from RNAcentral.
CCGUAACCCAUCAGAGGGGGAUAACAACUUGGAAACAGGUGCUAAUACCGCAUAACAGCUUAUGCCGCAUGGCAUAAGAGUGAAAGGCGCUUUCGGGUAUCGCUGAUGGAUGGACCCGCGGUGCAUUAGCUAGUUGGUGAGGUAACGGCUCACCAAGGCCACGAUGCAUAGCCGACCUGAGAGGGUGAUCGGCCACACUGGGACUGAGACACGGCCCAG